UGGCCGGGGCUCAGCGGUAGAGCGCUCACCUCGCACGUGGGAGAGCAGGGUUCCAUCCUCAGCUGCACAU
This 70-nucleotide transfer RNA is filed under the name Marmota monax (woodchuck). RNAcentral's name for it is "tRNA.Ala". Lineage: Eukaryota; Metazoa; Chordata; Mammalia; Rodentia; Sciuridae. The record is from RNAcentral.